AUNGUAAANNUGAGGCGCGAGGGCUGUCGCUGACUUUUCGUCGUGCACGCCCAAGUGCUCUCAAACAAUCCAUCUCACCCUGUGCACCACCGCGUGGGUCCCCCUUCUGGCUCGUCCAGAAGGGAGGCUUGCGUUUUCACACAAACUCGAUACGGUGUAGAAUGUCUCCUGCGAUAACACGCAAUUAAUACAACUUUCAACAACGGAUCUCUUGGCUCUCGCAUCGAUGAAGAACGCAGCGAAAUGCGAUACGUAAUGUGAAUUGCAGAAUUCAGUGAAUCAUCGAAUCUUUGAACGCACCUUGCGCCCCUUGGCAUUCCGAGGGGCACACCCGUUUGAGUGUCGUGAAAUUCUCAAAAACCUUUCUUUUGAAAGGGUUUUGGACUUGGAGGCUUUUUGCUGGCUUUUAAGCGAGCUCCUCCCAAAUAAAUUAGUGGGGUCCGCUUUGCCGAUCCUUGACGUGAUAAGAUGUUUUCUACGUCUCGGGUUUGGCGAUGCCUCUUGGGCACCUGCUUCUAACCGUCCGAUGGACAAUGAUGGCGUCCCGGUCACCACCGUUUUWUCGGUUGGGAGGCUUGGCCCACCAAAAAAACCUUGACCUCAAAUCGGGUGAGACUACCCGCUGAACUUAAGCAUAUCAAUAAGCGGANGAAAAGAAACUAACAAGGAUUCCCCUAGUAACUGCGAGUGAAGCGGGAAAAGCUCAAANUUAAAAUCUGGUGGUCUUUGNNNAUCCNAGUUGUAAUUUAGA
This 751-nucleotide ribosomal RNA is filed under the name Russula fragilis. RNAcentral's name for it is "eukaryotic LSU rRNA". The stretch from base 192 to 345 matches the Rfam family "5.8S ribosomal RNA". The record is from RNAcentral. Lineage: Eukaryota; Fungi; Basidiomycota; Agaricomycetes; Russulales; Russulaceae.